GGGGUUCACAACUAAUUGAUCACAACUAGUUAUAGAUUUCUUUAUUCCCUUUCCACUCCCAUUGCUUGACUUGACUAGCCUUAA
RNAcentral lists this Y RNA (84 nucleotides) under Aotus nancymaae (Ma's night monkey). Its description in RNAcentral is "Y RNA (ENSANAG00000011970.1)". It matches the Rfam family "Y RNA", at positions 19 to 96 of the family's 96-position model. From Rfam's summary of the family: Y RNAs are components of the Ro ribonucleoprotein particle (Ro RNP), in association with Ro60 and La proteins. Lineage: Eukaryota; Metazoa; Chordata; Mammalia; Primates; Aotidae. The record is from RNAcentral.